Molecule: ribosomal RNA, 287 nt
Rfam family: Bacterial small subunit ribosomal RNA
AGCAGCCGCGGUAAUACGGAGGGGGCUAGCGUUGUUCGGAAUUACUGGGCGUAAAGCGCACGUAGGCGGCUUUGUAAGUUAGAGGUGAAAGCCCGGGGCUCAACUCCGGAAUUGCCUUUAAGACUGCAUCGCUAGAAUUGUGGAGAGGUGAGUGGAAUUCCGAGUGUAGAGGUGAAAUUCGUAGAUAUUCGGAAGAACACCAGUGGCGAAGGCGGCUCACUGGACACAUACUGACGCUGAGGUGCGAAAGCGUGGGGAGCAAACAGGAUUAGAUACCCCGGUAGUCC